AUUUUAAUUAAUUUAUUCAUUAACUUGUUAAAAUAUUAUUUUACUAAUACUUAGAUACUUAUUAUUUUGAUAAAUUAUUUUUAUUUUUAAUUAUAAUUAUUCUUAUUCUUACUAUUCCAACCCAAUUAAUCACCCAAAUGUAAUUUUUCUUAUAUCUCUAAAUAUUUCGAUUCUCGUCCAAAUACAAAAUUGAGCUAAUUUCUGCCUAUCUCAGUUAUACCUAUUUGGCUAUUUCAAGAAUAAAAAAAAAAAACUUCAAAUACCACCCUUGUGGUUUCACACUUUCUUAUUUUAGUAUCCUGUGGUUUAAAGUGUAUCAAUUUUGGUACCCUGUGGUUUUAUUUUUUUCUUUUUAUCAUUCAUUCCACUAAUUUUUUUUCGUUAAAUCAAUAACAAAGUUAAAACUAAAGGAUACUAAAGUGAAUAUUCGAUAAACCUAGAUGGGUGUAUCUGAAGUUUUUUAUAUAUAAUUUAAUGAAAAAUUAACGGAGAAGCUGACGAAAAGAGAAAAAUGAAUCCACAGGAUAUUAACUUGAUACACUUUAAACCACAUGAUACUAAAGUAAGAAAGUGCGAAACCACUGGAGUGGUAUUUGAAGUUUACCCUAAAUAAAAAUAGCAUGUUCUCGAACCAAACAGUAUCUAAA
RNAcentral lists this long non-coding RNA (647 nucleotides) under Ananas comosus (pineapple). RNAcentral describes it as "long non-coding RNA (ACOM_LNC009338)". Lineage: Eukaryota; Viridiplantae; Streptophyta; Magnoliopsida; Poales; Bromeliaceae. The record is from RNAcentral.